UGGGGUGGAGCAAGUGGACAAAUUGGACUCGCAUUUCUCAUCGAACGAAUACACGAAAAGAAUCAUGCUGAAAACUUCCAAACAAACAUGUCAUCAACAGUCUUAAUCACCUCCUGAGCCAUCACAGGAUUCUUAACCCACUGCAAGAAGAGAAAUUGACACUAAAUCAAAAGAAGUAAUGAAUUGCGCAAGACUAUUCAGUUAAAAAGAGGUCAUUUACAAAUUAUCAAUACAGGUUAAAGAACACAAGAAUUUCACCAACUCAUUUUUCAUCUUCAAUAUACAAAUGAACGAACAAAAUCAAGAUAUACGUAUUCUUGACUAAAUGGAUAGUCAUAUUUUCUCAUAGUAAUCUAUUAGACAACAAAAUCAUGCAUUGGCAAUAUUCAGUUUAUCCAUCAUAAAUAUAAAGGUAAUGACAAUGGGCAUCAACGAAGAGAUUAUAAGCAAUAGUCAAGGGGAAAGUGGCAGAUGAUUACUUUCUCAUCAAGGAAGACAAUUAUGAGCACAAGAAGCCAGUUGAUCCAAUCAAUAUAAGGUGCAUAAGUAAAAUCUAUUAGGUCAUAUUCGGCUAAGCUAAAUUAUUGCUUAGGAGUAAGUAUACUAGUAAAAAAUAAGUUGUACGUCAAAGCUGAAAAUGAAUAACUUUAUUUGAAAGUGACCCUUCAGUGUCAAAAUAAAUAACUUUUCUUAUACAAGUGGGAAAAUCUGCCCAAUAAGGAAAUCAGGGAAUUAUUGUAUUAAUGGUAUACAAUCCCGUAAUUUAAGAGAUAUCACAAUCCCUUAAUUAAAGGAAUAUCACAAUCCCUUAAUUAAGGGGAUUUAUGUUAGGAUAGUUUUCUAUUUUAUUUGUUCUCUGUAAGUAUAUAAAUUCAAUGAUUGUACAGCAUUAUUAUUAUGAUUACGUAGAAGAAUAAUACUUCAAUUCUUCACAUGGUAUCAGAGCUUUAAGCUUCUGGGAAUUACUCUCUGUUUUUUCACUUGUUGGCCUUCAUUGCCCAGUAUUUUGUUCAGCCUUUAUUGCUGAUUUUUUUCCGUUCUUUCUCUAAAUCAUUUUGAAAAUCUAAAGUUCUUUGUUCUUCCUUCGGCCACUCUCGUUCUUGAUUUAACCACAGUUCUUUCUUGAUCUUCCCAAUGGCCAUGGCAGAAAUCAUUGACAGCACUAACUCCUCUGAGACGCAGACUGUGGAAACAAAACCUGCUUCAUCUUUAGGAGAGUUACAGAAUCUGCAAGCAGCAUAUAAAUUGAAUGGAAAGAAUUACCUAAAAUGGUCACAGCUGGUUAGAACGUUCUUGAAAAGGAAAGGCAUGUUGAGUCGCUUGGUGCAGGGCCUAUAGCAGGAAAUCCUGGAUUUGAUGCUUGGGAUGAGGCGGACUCUAUGGUGAUGACAUGGCUAUGGAACCCAAUGCUACCGGAGAUCAGCAAUUCAUGUAUGUUCCUAACCACUGCAAAGGAGAUUUGGGAUGCCGUUGGACAAACCUAUUCCAAGGUUCAUGAUGCUGCUCAGAUAUAUGAAAUCAAGAUUAAAAUUUCAGCCACCAAGCAAGGAGAACGUACUAUCACAGAAUAUGCCAAUCUCAUGAAAAAUCUGUGUCAAGAAAUGGACCAUUAUCAAUGUAUUAAACUGAAAUGCAGUAAUGGUGCAGCCAUGGUGAAAAGACUGGAAGAAAAUGACAGGAUUUAUGAUUUCCUUGCAGGACUAAAUAUGGUGUUUGAUCCAGUCAGAGUCCAAAUUCUUGGAAAGGAUGAUUUGCCCUCAUUAAAUGAGACUAUUGUGAUAAUCAGAGCAGAAGAAGGACGGAGGGGAGUAAUGGUGGAACCACAGGCCGUCGAAGUGUCAGCUAUGGUCUCAAAAAUGACCGGUUUUAAAAAACCCAGUCCAAACCAACCAACCGUGAGCAUGAAUGAGGAAUUGAACAUGUCUAAAGCAACAAACAAAGAUGAAUUAUGGUGUACGUAC
RNAcentral lists this long non-coding RNA (1961 nucleotides) under Olea europaea (common olive). RNAcentral describes it as "long non-coding RNA (OEUR_LNC014153)". The record is from RNAcentral. Lineage: Eukaryota; Viridiplantae; Streptophyta; Magnoliopsida; Lamiales; Oleaceae.